This 429-nucleotide ribosomal RNA is filed under the name uncultured archaeon. RNAcentral describes it as "bacterial SSU rRNA". It matches the Rfam family "Archaeal small subunit ribosomal RNA", at positions 474 to 903 of the family's 1478-position model. The record is from RNAcentral.
UACCAGCUCUCCGAGUGGUAGGGAUGAUUAUUGGGCUUAAAGCGUCCGUAGCUGGCUUAGCAAGUCUCCUGUUAAAUUCAGCGACCUAAUCGUUGAGCCGCGGGAGAUACUACUAGGCUAGGAGGCGGGAGAGGUCGACGGUACUUUCGGGGUAGGGGUGAAAUCCUAUAAUCCCGGGAGGACCACCAGUGGCGAAGGCUGUUGACUAGAACGUGCUCGACGGUGAGGGACGAAAGCUGGGGUAGCGAACCGGAUUAGAUACCCGGGUAGUCCCAGCUGUAAACUAUGCGGGCUAGGUGUUGGGGUGGCUACGGGCCACUUCAGUGCCGCAGGAAAGCCAUUAAGCCCGCCGCCUGGGGAGUACGGCCGCAAGGCUGAAACUUAAAGGAAUUGGCGGGGGAGCACCACAAGGCGCGAAGCUUGCGGUUC